AGUCGAGGGGCAGCAUCAUCAAAGCUUGCUUUGAUGGAUGGCGACCGGCGCACGGGUGAGUAACACGUAUCCAACCUGCCGACAACACUGGGAUAGCCUUUCGAAAGAAAGAUUAAUACCGGAUGGCAUAAUUUUCCCGCAUGGGAUGAUUAUUAAAGAAUUUCGGUUGUCGAUGGGGAUGCGUUCCAUUAGGCAGUUGGCGGGGUAACGGCCCACCAAACCUACGAUGGAUAGGGGUUCUGAGAGGAAGGUCCCCCACAUUGGAACUGAGACACGGUCCAAACUCCUACGGGAGGCAGCAGUGAGGAAUAUUGGUCAAUGGACGAGAGUCUGAACCAGCCAAGUAGCGUGAAGGAUGACUGCCCUAUGGGUUGUAAACUUCUUUUAUACGGGAAUAAAGUGAGCCACGUGUGGCUUUUUGUAUGUACCGUAUGAAUAAGGAUCGGCUAACUCCGUGCCAGCAGCCGCGGUAAUACGGAGGAUCCGAGCGUUAUCCGGAUUUAUUGGGUUUAAAGGGAGCGUAGGCGGGUUGUUAAGUCAGUUGUGAAAGUUUGCGGCUCAACCGUAAAAUUGCAGUUGAUACUGGCGACCUUGAGUGCAACAGAAGUAGGCGGAAUUCGUGGUGUAGCGGUGAAAUGCUUAGAUAUCACGAAGAACUCCGAUUGCGAAGGCAGCUUACUGGAUUGUAACUGACGCUGAUGCUCGAAAGUGUGGGUAUCAAACAGGAUUAGAUACCCUGGUAGUCCACACAGUAAACGAUGAAUACUCGCUGUUGGCGAUAUACAGUCAGCGGCCAAGCGAAAGCAUUAAGUAUUCCACCUGGGGAGUACGCCGGCAACGGUGAAACUCAAAGGAAUUGACGGGGGCCCGCACAAGCGGAGGACAUGUGGUUUAAUUCGAUGAUACGCGAGGAACCUUACCCGGGCUUAAAUUGCACUGACGGAAUCGGAAACGGUUCUUUCUUCGACAGUUGU
Molecule: ribosomal RNA, 974 nt
Filed under: Bacteroides stercoris
Lineage: Bacteria; Pseudomonadati; Bacteroidota; Bacteroidia; Bacteroidales; Bacteroidaceae
Description: bacterial SSU rRNA
Rfam family: Bacterial small subunit ribosomal RNA
Source: RNAcentral